UACGUAGGGUGCAAGCGUUGUCCGGAAUUAUUGGGCGUAAAGAGCUCGUAGGCGGUUCGUCGCGUCGGCUGUGAAAACCCGGAGCUCAACUCCGGGCCUGCAGUCGAUACGGGCGGACUUGAGUGUUGCAGGGGAGACUGGAAUUCCGGGUGUAGUGGUGAAAUGCGUAGAGAUCCGGAGGAACCCCAGAGGCGAAGGCGGCCCCCUGGCUCGUACCUGACGCUCAGCCACGAAAGCAUGGGGAGCGAACGGG
RNAcentral lists this ribosomal RNA (253 nucleotides) under uncultured bacterium. Its description in RNAcentral is "partial 16S ribosomal RNA". It matches the Rfam family "Bacterial small subunit ribosomal RNA", at positions 524 to 776 of the family's 1533-position model. The record is from RNAcentral.